Molecule: ribosomal RNA, 497 nt
Filed under: uncultured bacterium
Lineage: Bacteria
Description: partial 16S ribosomal RNA
Rfam family: Bacterial small subunit ribosomal RNA
Source: RNAcentral
GAUGAACGCUGGCGGCGUGCCUAAUACAUGCAGGUCGAGCGAACAGACGAGGAGCUUGCUCCUUUGACGUUAGCGGCGGACGGGUGAGUAACACGUGGGUAACCUACCUAUAAGACUGGGAUAACUUCGGGAAACCGGAGCUAAUACCGGAUAAUAUUUCGAACCGCAUGGUUCGAUAGUGAAAGAUGGCUCUGCUAUCACUUAUAGAUGGACCUGCGCCGUAUUAGCUAGUUGGUAAGGUAACGGCUUACCAAGGCAACGAUACGUAGCCGACCUGAGAGGGUGAUCGGCCACACUGGAACUGAGACACGGUCCAGACUCCUACGGGAGGCAGCAGUAGGGAAUCUUCCGCAAUGGGCGAAAGCCUGACGGAGCAACGCCGCGUGAGUGAUGAAGGUCUUCGGAUCGUAAAACUCUGUUAUUAGGGAAGAACAAACGUGUAAGUAACUGUGCACGUCUUGACGGUACCUAAUCAGAAAGCCACGGCUAACUACGUG